RNAcentral lists this long non-coding RNA (306 nucleotides) under Elaeis guineensis (African oil palm). Its description in RNAcentral is "long non-coding RNA (EGUI_LNC076562)". Lineage: Eukaryota; Viridiplantae; Streptophyta; Magnoliopsida; Arecales; Arecaceae. The record is from RNAcentral.
UCCUGCAGCAAUGUUCUUUAAUUAAUUUACAGUCUAUCUUUAUGUUGCUACCUUUCUUUAUGGUACUUAUUUGUAUUCUUCAUACAAUAUUUAUGCAUUGUAGCAUUAUAGCAUUGUAUUGUGUUGUGUAGUCUAAUGUAUGUUUUAAUAUUUUCAUCAUUCUAGAGCAUAUUAUUAGGCAAAUGAAAGAUUUUUGAUAAAGCUGUGUGAGACUUCAUGCCUCGUUCAUUGGCUGAAGUCAAGCAAAUAUUCAUGCCCAUAUGCUCAUAGUUUCACUGGCACUUGCUUAUCGUCGAUAUAGAGAGC